GUGUAAAGGGUCAAAAAUAUAAGUAUCACCAUUAUUCAUGUGUAUUAGUCCAUAACUGCUGCUUACCCGAGUCACUGCAACUCCCAGAAUAUAGAGGAAAUAGAUUAAAAUGCACAAAUACCGGAAUAAUAAUGCAUUAUUCUAUAAGUGAAAGAUAACUGCAAAGGAUUAAUAUCCUAAUGCCUACAAAGCAAAGCUCCUACAGAGAACAAUUCUCUCUUUUCAUAAAUAACUCAAUGAUUCUCUAAGAUAUUCUUCCUCUCACCCCUCAGUCCCUAUAUAACUAACUCCCAUAAGUCGGGUACCAUACAAUCCUCACCCUCUAUACCACAUCAACAUUCCCUCUUAUAUUUUCCUGACAUAUAUCUCCCAACCGUGGGCUAGGAAAUAAGAGUCAUAUGAGCCCACAGUUGGGGUCCUAACAAUAACUUUAAGCUUAAUAGAGGAUAAGAUACUGGUUUCUUCCUAUUGUAUCAUAGACUUAACUACUAUGUCUUCUGCAUUAGAUAAGAUGAAACAAAAUUUAAAUUUUUUAUCAAUAAAAAUUGAAAAUAUUGUAUUUCAACCCUAGAAUUAUUUUCUGUCAUAUAACUAACUACAUGAUGAAUUUCGUAACUCUAGCAAUUCUAGAUGGACAUACUUGCAAACUAUUAUGUCUUCUGCAUGAAGUAUUUCAACCCUAGAAUUAUUUUCAGUGUUAACCAAUUUGAAGCCAUGGUAAAGUGUUUAGGUUGUAGAGCUCGCCAACAUGACUAAGCAUUCGUUUAGAUUGAUUUAUUUGAACUUAUCUACUGCUUUGAGUACUUGUUAGAUAUUUUAGAUAGUUUGUGGAAACAUACAUGUCCAUAAGUUGUUUUCAGUUUAUUUCUAUAACUUCUCCAAAAUAAUUUAUAAAUCAGCUAACAUGAUAAAGGCUUAUACAUGAACAUUCAUAUGAUAAGUGCUUAUGCUAUAAGUGCUUUUAAUUAAGGUGUACAUCCAAGGAAGAGAAAUAUGUUGCAAACAUAAGAUGCAAAUAAAGUAAAAUUGAUGAAAGUUCACUCACUUGAGUUCGUAAGGGAAGAGAAAGAUAUGAUCCAUUCGUCAAUUACCUAAUGAUCAUGCAAAUGGAUAACUAGUUAGAGAAAAUUGAUCAAAUAAUUGAAAAUUCAAAAGUAUUUAGCUAUAAACCAAGAACAUUUACAAUCGAACUUGACAAAAAAUUGAAAAUGAAAUGGUGAAUGGUAGAAAAAAGAUUCAUACAAGCAGAGCGCUCAACAUCCUUUUAGUUUCGCCACUGAAACUCGUCCCCUUUCAAUUCACUCCACUUCUACAUUCAUCUUCAACCAACAAAAGGAAUAGAGUUUCUCAAAAUUCAAAUACCAAAAAAACCUAAAAUGAAAAAAUUGUUGAAUCAAAGCGCAAAUGGAACCUGACACUGCGUUGGAGAAGCGUGUGGAGGAGAGGGCGUUCGUCGGAGAGUGAUUCAUUCGAGGUGAGUUCUGCUACGAGUCGUUAACUCGGGCAGACGUGGCUCCGUUUC
RNAcentral lists this long non-coding RNA (1522 nucleotides) under Lathyrus oleraceus (garden pea). RNAcentral describes it as "Pisum sativum (pea) long non-coding RNA (PSAT_LNC039101)". Lineage: Eukaryota; Viridiplantae; Streptophyta; Magnoliopsida; Fabales; Fabaceae. The record is from RNAcentral.